AUGGGUUUCGAUAAUGAAUGUAUUCUGAAUAUACAAACUCUUCCUGGUGAAUAUUUUUGCCCUGUUUGUCGGACGCUCAUAUACCCCAACGAAGCUCUGCAAGCUCAGUGCACACAUCUCUACUGCAAACCUUGCUUGGCUUAUGUAGCAGCAACCACACAAGCCUGCCCUUAUGAUGGUUACUUAGUGACGGAAGCUGAUUCCAAGCCUCUGGUGGAUUCAAAUAAAUCACUUGCUGAGACAAUUGGUAAAGUUACAGUACAAUGCCUGUACAACAAGAGUGGUUGCCAAUGGCAAGGAAACCUGUCUGAAUGCAACACACAUGGUACCGCUUGUGCCUAUGGGAACUCGCCUGUUGUUUGUAACCGUUGUGGUACUCAGAUUGUACAUCGUCAAGUGCAAGAACAUGCUCAGCUUUGUCCUGGCAUGCAACCCCAAACACAACAGGCUGACGGUAGUCUGACACAGUCAUCAGCUGCAACGACCCAGGCAGUCACCCAAGAUCCUUCUGCAGUUUCCUCUGUGGCGCUUGUAGCAGCUCCUACAGCUGGAGCUGUUACAGCUUCUGCACUGGCAACUGGUUCAGCUGGUGUGACCACAACAAGCACGGUUGCUGUGGCCCCUUUUGCAGGGGCACCUACUUAUGCUACUCAAGGUCAAGCAGUUGCACCACAAAUUCAAUCAGCCGAGCAGUACCAGCAGCAGCUCCAGUACCACCAGUACUACCAGCAGCAUUACCCUGGCUACAAUCCCUACACCCAGCAGUAUCAACAGUAUGGCCAAUACCAACAGUACACACAACCUCAAACGCAAGUGGCACCACAGAAUGUUGCUCAAGUGCCUGCACAACCUGCUCCAUAUGCUCAGCCUCAAUUCCUGCAGCCGCCACAGCCCCAACACAUAGUGCCAAACCAGUCCCAGAAUCCUCAACUCCAAGCACCAGCUGUUCAGCCACAGCCUCAGCAGAAUCCACCAUUGCAUUCAGCGCCUCAAAUUCCACAGAUGCAACCACAAGGUGAUGUACAACCUAUAGCCCAUACCCAAGUUUGUAAUCAGCCAUUUGCAAUGCCUGCAACUCAAGCAAUAGCCUCCCAGGUGCAGCCAUAUGUGCAACCUCAUCCUCCACAUCAACAGCAGGCUGUUGCCCAGCAACAACCGCAAAUGCAGUACCCACCUCAGCAGCAACAUCCUCAAUCUCAGAUGCAGCACCAGCAUCCACAAGUGCGGCAGCAAUCGUACCCACAACCUCAUGUCUAUCAUCAGCCUCAUCCAGUUGCACAAUCUCAGAACCCUUCAGUACAUGCGGUAGCAGGUCAUCAAUCAUAUUCGCAGCCUCAGCCAGCACAUCAGAUGGCACAUGGUGCUGCAAUCCAGCACCCUGUACAUGCAUCUCACCAACAGUUAGUUGGUCCUCAGCAUCCUGCACUUGUACACCCUCCUCAGGGUCAAUUUCCGUUGCAAGGUCAACAACCAUCCAUGCUGGCUCCUCAAGGUACUCAGCAUACACCACAACAUCAGCAACAUGGGCAUCAGGCUCAGCGGCCACCAAUGCAUCCCAGCAUCCCUUCGCAGGCACCACCACAAGGAUUUCCUCUUAACACACCUGUUCCUUCACAAACAAGUCAAUCAUACCAACAAGGAAUGCACUCAUCACAACAACAGAUUCAUCCUCAACCUUUCCAGCCCCAUGGUCCACAAUAUAUGCAGCAGCAGCAUGUUCCAACCUCGACUAGCAGGUCUACGAGUUAUGUUGCAACACCGCAUCAGUUCCAAGAAUCAGGAAAGUCAGAAAGUGCAGCUAAUGCUAGUGGCAAUGCUGAAGUAGGCGAUAAUACAAAUGGAGGCAGUGAAUAUUCUGGCAUAAAGCCAGAAUAUCUGGGUGAUAAAAAUGUGAAUGGGGAGCAGAAUGAUUUUAGUAAUAUCAGAAAAAAUGCGGUACAAACUGGCAUUGCAUUGGGCGUUGCAGAUGGUUUAGACAAAGGCAAAGGAAAGGAUGAGUCUGGUGGCCAGGAAAGUAAUUCACAGUCUGAAGCUUCAAAUAUAUCCAAUGAUCUUGAGAAAGGAGGAUCAUUGCAGCAGGCAUCACAGAAAAGCCAGGGAGCACUGGGUUCCUAUGCGCCCCCAGGCAUGGGCCGACAGCGUCCUUCUGGACCUGAUACCAUGCUUACUCAGCAUAUGCUCCAUCCUCCUGUGCCAUGUACGCAAGCCCAGAAGAAUCAAAUGAGGCCACCUAGUCAUAGUUUUCCAGAAAAUGUCCGGCCUACAGUGCAGCAACAACUAUAUGGUGUAUAUCAAUCUGAAAUGGCACCAAGGGUGUUUGCACCAAACCUUCCGCGGCCUGCACCCACCAUACCUGAUGAUGGCAUGAUUCGACCACCCAUGGCUGGACCCUUGCCUGGACUUCAUGACACAACUAUGCCUCCUUUUGCUCCAGAAAAUGUUGGCCGACCACAUCCUGUUGGAAUGAGAAAUGGUGUCGGCGGAGAGCAACUAGGAAAUUCCAGGGCUUUCCAUGAAGAAGGGUUCAAUACUUCACGGGAACAUUUCAGGUCGUUGGGGCCACCAUAUCCUGGCAGAUACAAUGUCAACCCUAAAGAUAUUGAAGAGAAUAUGAAGCAAUUUCCAGGGCCAACUCAUCUUGAUGAUGACAGUUUUCAGAGAGGCCCAAGGCCUUUUGAUGGUUUCGAUUCAUUACCAGGAAGGCCUCCAUUCCCAAACAAGCCAGGCCCAUAUCCUAUAGGCUUCCCUGAAGAUUUGUCAAGGAAGCCCCAUUCAAUUGUUGGUCAUCCUGACUUUGUGUCACCUGGUGCAGAAUUUGGCCAUCACAGGGUUGAUGGAAUGCCUAGAAACCCAGGUUCAUUUGUUCAAGGGAUGACAGCUGGUCCCGGAGGUCUUCGUAAGGACCAACUAGGCCCUGGCAACCUUCCAGGGAGUAGACAGCAUGAUUUUGACAAUCUAGGGUUCCCUCAUACACAUUUCCACCCCGCUGAUAUUUUUCUUCCAAGAAAUCUUCAUGGUUCUGAACCCCUUGGGCAUGGUCAAUUGCAUGGAAUUGAACCUUCUGGCCACCGGUUCCAAGGACACGUACAUCCAGAUGAUCCAAAUUUUGAUGACUAUUCUCGACAUGGUUUUCCACAAGAAUCUGGCCGCUUCAGUUCGGGUGGUUUCUUCAGUAGUGGAGAAGUUGGUUGGUGCCGGAUAUGCAUGUUUAACUGUGGGAGUGCAGAGGACCUUGGUCUACAUGUGCAUACAAGAGAACAUCAGCAGCAUGCAAUGGACAUUGUUCUGAAAAUGAAGCAUGAUGUCGCGAAGCGACAGAAAAUGAAUCCUGGAGGCCCCAAGUCAUUAAACAAAAAAGCAGCCAUGAAGGGCAACUUCCAUGGAAAUAGGCGUUAG
RNAcentral lists this ribosomal RNA (3396 nucleotides) under Triticum aestivum (bread wheat). RNAcentral describes it as "partial small subunit ribosomal RNA". The record is from RNAcentral. Lineage: Eukaryota; Viridiplantae; Streptophyta; Magnoliopsida; Poales; Poaceae.